Ruditapes philippinarum (Manila clam) is the source of this 926-nucleotide long non-coding RNA. RefSeq lists it as uncharacterized. The transcript is spliced from 2 exons. NCBI's taxonomy places the organism in Eukaryota, Metazoa, Mollusca, Bivalvia, Venerida, Veneridae. The record is from RefSeq and is a predicted model, not a curated record.
UUUCACAUAAAGCGAUAUGGUAACACACGCACGCACGCACGAACACACAAACAUACACAACUACACAUGCACAUACAAGUGAACACGUUCCUACAGUAUUAACACUCGCAUAUGUGAUCACUUAUGAAAUAUUUUCAAUGUGCUCUUUAUCAGUUUAUGAUGAAGUUAUAUUAUGAUUUUUUCAGGACAGUGUACAGCGUGUUUAAAUCUUCCAGAAAUGCAGCUGUGCCCUCUUAACAGCAAUUAUAGAUGAAGCAAAGUAUGGUAGCAAGUAAUAUAGAUAUACACACAUGCCGAAGAAGAUUGUAAUAUCUGGAGAAAACAUUUCCUACGUCACGAAAUAGACACCGUCACACUGGCCUAUAGAUGAUUGAUAUAUUUAAGUGCUUUUAAGAACAGUGUUUGAAUGUCGAAUUUCUGAAAAUACGGAUUUUUAAUUUUAAUGCUUAUUAUUAAAACUCUCUGUAAUUAUCAAUUUGUGCCAUGGACUCAUUUUCCUAACAUAACAUGUGAAUGUUAACACGAGCAAAUGAUAUGAAUAUCUUUAAAAUAUUUUAUGGGUGUAAUAUAAGUGGCUCACAUGAAUCAUUGUUAAGAUAAAUCGAAAAGAACUUCAAUUUAGCAUAGUUUGUUCUAGAUUUAAACAACAUGCAAUUCAUAAAGGUUACGGCUUGAAAAUAUCGAAAAAUGUACAUGUAUAAUUCGAUCUCUGAAGAAAAUAUCGCGGUGCGGAUGUUCUGCACCGUGAUACGUAUUUCAUGACUCUGUAUUGCAACAUACCGGUAUAUCGCCGUUCCGUUGCAACGCUACAUUAAUGUGUCCCUCUGGAAUAAGUAUGACUAUUGUAGCGAAGACAUGUUUAUUUUGUUAUAUAUAUGUAUACAUAUUGAAUAUAUGUUUAUGAAAUAAUAAAUAUUUAAUAGUGA